GCUGGGCAUGAUGGCACUUGCCUGUAAUCCCAGUGGUUCCGGAGGCUGAGGCAGGAGGAUUGCGAGUUCAAAGCCAGCCUCAGCAAAAGUGAGGAGCUAAGCAACUCAGUGAGACCCUGUCUCUA
Molecule: small RNA, 125 nt
Filed under: Marmota monax (woodchuck)
Lineage: Eukaryota; Metazoa; Chordata; Mammalia; Rodentia; Sciuridae
Source: RNAcentral